RNAcentral lists this ribosomal RNA (500 nucleotides) under uncultured bacterium. RNAcentral describes it as "partial 16S ribosomal RNA". It matches the Rfam family "Bacterial small subunit ribosomal RNA", at positions 30 to 523 of the family's 1533-position model. The record is from RNAcentral.
AUUGAACGCUGGCGGCAGGCCUAACACAUGCAAGUCGAGCGGAUGACGGGAGCUUGCUCCUUGAUUCAGCGGCGGACGGGUGAGUAAUGCCUAGGAAUCUGCCUGGUAGUGGGGGACAACGUUUCGAAAGGAACGCUAAUACCGCAUACGUCCCACGGGAGAAAGCAGGGGACCUUCGGGCCUUGCGCUAUCAGAGGAGCCUAGGUCGGAUUAGCUAGUUGGUGGGGUAAUGGCUCACCAAGGCGACGAUCCGUAACUGGUCUGAGAGGAUGAUCAGUCACACUGGAACUGAGACACGGUCCGGACUCCUACGGGAGGCAGCAGUGGGGAAUAUUGGACAAUGGGCGAAAGCCUGAUCCAGCCAUGCCGCGUGUGUGAAGAAGGUCUUCGGAUUGUAAAGCACUUUAAGUUGGGAGGAAGGGCAGUAAGCUAAUACCUUGCUGUUUUGACGUUACCGACAGAAUAAGCACCGGCUAACUCUGUGCCAGCAGCCGCCGUAA